RNAcentral lists this ribosomal RNA (430 nucleotides) under Oceanobacillus sp. RNAcentral's name for it is "bacterial SSU rRNA". It matches the Rfam family "Bacterial small subunit ribosomal RNA", at positions 96 to 512 of the family's 1533-position model. Lineage: Bacteria; Bacillati; Bacillota; Bacilli; Caryophanales; Bacillaceae. The record is from RNAcentral.
CGGCGGACGGGUGAGUAACACGUAGGCAACCUGCCUGUAAGACUGGGAUAACUCGCGGAAACGCGAGCUAAUACCGGAUAAUACUUAUUAUCUCCUGAUGGUAAGUUGAAAGGCGGCUUUUGCUGUCACUUACAGAUGGGCCUGCGGCGCAUUAGCUAGUUGGUGGGGUAAUGGCUCACCAAGGCGACGAUGCGUAGCCGACCUGAGAGGGUGAUCGGCCACACUGGGACUGAGACACGGCCCAGACUCCUACGGGAGGCAGCAGUAGGGAAUCUUCCGCAAUGGACGAAAGUCUGACGGAGCAACGCCGCGUGAGUGAUGAAGGUUUUCGGAUCGUAAAACUCUGUUGUCGGGGAAGAACAAGUAUGAUAGUAACUGAUCGUACCUUGACGGUACCCGACCAGAAAGCCACGGCUAACUACGUGCCAGC